Molecule: long non-coding RNA, 326 nt
Filed under: Homo sapiens (human)
Lineage: Eukaryota; Metazoa; Chordata; Mammalia; Primates; Hominidae
Description: HSALNT0381766
Source: RNAcentral
AGUCGUCGGUAACGUGGCCGCAGCCCGAGAGCGUGACGGACGCCAGGGAAAAAACAAAGAGCGGACUGUCCCCCUGCCCAGCCAUCCUCAGCCAUUCCUCCCGACCUGAGCUGAGUGCCAGAAGAACCAGAUUCAGUAGACGUUCAUCAGUACCUACUAUGUGCCAGGUGCCACUGUGUCAUUUAAUCCUCUUACCCUGUUGGAUAAGAAAAAUUUAGCACAUUUUAUAGAAGAAGAAAUGAGGUUGCAAGAGUUUGAAGUAUUUGAGCUGGGGUCACAUGGUUGGACGAGCUGAGCGGCUCAGCAGAGUGCUGACAGCAAAGCCC